Long non-coding RNA from Athalia rosae (coleseed sawfly), 9659 nucleotides. RefSeq lists it as uncharacterized. The transcript has 2 exons. The record is from RefSeq and is a predicted model, not a curated record. Lineage: Eukaryota; Metazoa; Arthropoda; Insecta; Hymenoptera; Athaliidae.
UUCUCUCAUCUCUUUGACGACAUUGCGAAAAUCUUUUCAACAAAUAUCGUAAAGAGGAUUAUUCCGUUCAAACAUUGAUAUUGUUAUAGAAAAGUGAAAAAAUUAAUGACGGCUUGUUGAACUUGCGUAGGUAUGUCUCGUGCGAGGAUAACGUGGUAGUGUCAUCGGUAAUAAUAAUUGUGCUACGAAGGUUCAAUGUUACUUGUUAAUUUAUCAUUAUCAUUACUGUUAUUACGAUACGGUAUUAUUAGAAAGUAAAAAAACGCGGGCUGCUCGAUGGUCGUGUGUUAUAAUAUUUGAAGAAAUAUAUAUAUAUAUAUAUAUAUAUUAAGUAUAAUUUAAUUAUGGCUUACAUUCGUUAACUCGUUAUAAUUAGCCCGAAGCACGGUAUAAAAUUCCAAUCAACCUCGCGAUUAAGUAACAUUGCUUAUCUGCUCUGCUACCGUCAAUAAGCCGGUCGUGGUCGCGCCGAGCUGAGUAUAUCGUAACUCCCUCGUCACAAAAAGAAACCAAAUAACAAAUAACAUAACGAAAGAGAAAAAAAUGUCUUCUCGAUCGAUUCGACGGAAAAAAAAAAUCAAUAACGGGGGCCACGAUUGACUCAUGAUCCGUUUAUUUGUCGAUAGUUUGAUUUGGCGAUUUUCGAGCAUCACCGCCGUUACGUUCGAUAUUAGGCGCAAAGGUUGGGUUGGGCGAGUGUGUUACGUCAAUUUCAUCGUCGUUCGUUUGAACAAUGGCGUGUUGUUACGCGCGUGUCUAUAGGUCUCUGUGUGAUUAACGGUUACAGCUAUUAUCGAAGCGUAAUCUGAUUAUCAUAUAAUUGACGCACUGUCAGCAGCCGGGUAUAACGUGUAAAAUUGCUGCGGGUGUGGUAAUUGGUACCGAGUAGUCGUAGUUUCAGUACAGUAGCAUAGCGGCAUAGCUAGUACUAGCAGUAUACGUGCGUACAUAUUUGACACGUUUAUCGACGUCUCUCCGCUCUCACGUCGUCGUCGUUGUCCCGAAGCGUUCGCGUAACCCCCGUCAUUUAGCGCAUCGGUUCGUUCAUCGUUAGAGAACACGUCCUCGGACUAUUUUUAUAAUUUCAUUCAGAUCGAAAGACGACUAACAACGACACCACCCGGUGCAAGGUAUACAUCGGAUGUGCGGGGGUAACUGUAUGAAGUUCAUCUCCCACGGGGAACGAAUAUCCGAACGAAUUCGUGGGGCCAAGUUGCUUCGCGUUAAAAUUCGAGAAUUUAGAGCAACGAUUGGAAGAGAUACUGGAAUGGGAAUUAUUUUUCUCGCGUCUCUCGAAGUAUAUCUAUAUCCAUUUAAAAAUACAUCUAGACACAGACGACGUCAAGGUUCUAAAGAUUCGGUACAGCUAGAUCAGUUUUUAUAUCUCUACGUACGUCACGACGUACGCGAGAGCGUCUCCGCUCGCUGUCUCGCGAACGUCGCGGUUGCGUCGCGACGACGGCGUCGCGUGUCGCCUUCAUCGGCAGAUAAAAAUGCGGUCAUAGUCGUCGUUCAGAAUUCCUAGGGAUUCCAUUAGUCCGUAAAUACGUGUAUGUAUACGUAUUACCGUGCAUACAGAGUUCGUGCGAAUAGAUUUUAUAAACGUACGCGAUGUACGUUGUAAAAUAAAAUCGCUAUCGUCUCCGUCGUCGUUAUUAUUUAUUUCAUUUCAUUCGCUUUUUAUUUAUUUUUCGUGCGGUAUUUCGAAGUUCGUAGAUUUUACGUUAGACGUAUACGUGUGAGAUACGUAUGGAAUCGCACCAGCGCUGAUUUAAUGAAUGAUAUGAAUGCGAAUUUCUACCGAGUAGCGUGUAUUUUAUCGCGUGGGUAGAAUGCAUUUUUUCCAUUUUCUUUUUCAAUUACGUGCAACGUAUUCAUUCACGUUCCGUGUUCAGUUCUUAGAUCAUGCCUAUUUUAUUUUAUUUCCUAUCUGUCAGUGACAUCAUUAAACGUCCAGAUGUAUACGUCAUCGAUGACUAGAUCGUAAUUUAUUCUUUGACGAAACACUCGUGUACAGAAUAACACGAGGAAUAAUAUAACUAGAUCCGACAUAGACGGGUGCGGGUGUCUGCAUUCCGAAAGAUUGGAGGGGGUUGCGAAAUUGCAAUUAUUGCAAUUCGUCUACUUUUCUCAAAAAAUCUAGAAAUUAUUUUUCCAAUUUUCGGACGAUAAAAUUUUCGUUUAAAAUUUAGCGUGCCUGAUGUCGUUCCGAAGAAAUUUACCGUUGAUCGGUAUUAGCGGUGUUCUUCGAAAUUCCAAAAAAUGAUAAAUCAAAAGUCACCCGAAGGACAAAAGCGAAAGAAUAUUUAAAAUAAACUAAAUUGGAAUGAAUUGGAAUCUGAUGAAAUGCGAUCAAAGUCAUAUUGAGUCAUUUUGUUUUUCUACUUUAAUUUGCUUUUUUGGACGUAGCGAGAUUGUUUCGUAUUUUAUCGGCGUCAAAUUGACAAUAUCGAUAUUUCUAACACGAAAGUUUUUUCACUCUGUACCAAUAUACACGCUGCUAUUGUACUCGCACAAUAUCACGAUGAUUAUGACUAUGAAAUUUAUUUAGUUUUUUUCAAUGAUUGUGUUGUCUAUUACAGUCGAUGUGAAAUAUGAUCCAGUUACAUUCGAAUAACUUGUGUUGUAUCAUUUUGAAAUCGUGGAACGUAAAAUAAAAAUGAUUUUUUCUUCUCCAAAAUGUAUGUACCGCAACUUUUGAAUUUCACUCUAGAGACGACUUACUUUUUCGAAAUAUUUGUGGCCAACUGCUCACCCUCUGGGGAAUAAAUGUAUAUAUAGAAAACUGGAAAAAGCCAGCAGAAGCCGUACAUCUCGAGGUUUAGACGUUCUACCGGAUGGUGCCUCGAUUGAUUGACGAUUAAAUAAGCGACUCAGACUCGCGGCAGACGCUGCUGAAGUAGCUUUUUUCCAUGAUUAUUCAUAUUCCGAUUCGUCGUAGGUCCAAUUUGUAUACAUAAAAUACACGCGGUAUUUUCUCGUUUUUUUUUUUUUUCGAAUUCCUUUACUCGAAAAUGGAGGAGCGACAAAGUAGGUAACAUCACCGUCCUAACUAUGUACCUUAUACUUUUUUGGAUGACGCGGGGCGCAGAAAAUACGCGCCGUGUAGAUAAACGAAACGCGAAAUUGCAUUUUGUUUGUUCGUUCCCUCGUUCCUUAGUUUCUUAGCUCGCUGUACGUAAAUAUAUAUAUAUAUAUAUAUACAUACAUUUAUGUAUGUAAAGUACAAGGUAUAUGAAGCUAGCUUAUACCGUGUAUUUAUACAUUUAAGCUUACCUAACCUACCCUAACUUAUAUCUUCGGAAGAAACGACUCCGAUAUUUAUGACUUCGUACUGCAAAAAAGGAGAGGGGGUCAGGCGGGAAGGGGUGGGUUUCGUUUUACAUCCAAAGCUCCGUUAUAUAGGCUCUUCGCGUACAUAUGUGCUCAUACCAUGCAUCUCUCGUCUAAUACAUACGUAUACAUACACAGACGAUAGGUACAUACGAUACACAUACAGUUGUAUCUCUACGCUUGUACAUAAGUAUAAUAAUAAAUAGAGGACUGAACACCGGUAUUUUUCAACUAUAUAUACAUAUCGCACGUGGGCUAUAUAUUUGUGCGGUAUUACGCGAGAGUACGGAGAGGAGACAUGGAAAAGAGAAUCGCGUAACUAUUUCAGUGUGUACGCGCGAAAUCCCGUAGGUAAAAUUUAUGGCUACAGUUGAGAACUGCAUUAUCUCAAUUCCGGAAACCGAAAUCACGCGUGCCGCGGUUGCGUCUGACUGUCGUUUAUUUUUGUAACGUGCAUAGAAAUAUGCACAUGCAUACCUGAUAAGCCGAGGACCUUGCAUACCUGAUAUGCCCAACUUACGUCACGUGAUCGCGAAGAUUACCUACCUUCUCGAUUACUCGAUCAUCGUAUUUGCGUGAGCAAUCGUUUUGAGGAGCUUUUAAUUUUUUUGUCAAUUUCCGAUGGAAUUUCACGCUCUUUCCGUUAUUCGGGGUCGGAUUCUUCACGAUUUUUAGGUCAAAGAAAAUGAGAGCGAAAAACCGUGUCCCUCGAUCGUUUAAUCGUUCGACGAAAUGAACGCGGAUGACGCGUCAAAAAAUAGGAAAUUCCGUGCGAAAAAAGUUCAUCAAUUUAAAUAUAAGUAAGAAUAAUUGCUGUUUCCGUUCGGUUGGCUAAACUCAUGACGAAUUAAGGCCUCGUUUUCACACACCGCCGCGUCUACAUAGGGCUUUUAUAUACGUACACGUAUGUACGUACAAGUAUAUUCAUUUGCCUCUGGUCUCUUCGUGGCGUAUCGCGCUGUAUACGAAUACGAUACGAUAUCCUCUACGCGACGCCGCGAUGCUCCAGUUGUUGUUCCCACCCCAUCCUCGUUCACCUCUUCUGACGACGACAUCGACGACGACGACGACGAGGACGAGGACGAGGACGAGGACGAGGACGACGACGAUUAGCCCCGUGCGGCGGAAUUCAAUUCUGUUAGUUCAAUUCAAUUCAAUUCAAUUCAAUUUAAUUUAGCAUAUAUCUACACCUACUACGUAUAUUGUACAUGUAAUCUGCAGAUAGUUCACUUCCAUUCUCUCGGCUGCAGUGUACGCGGGACACGCGUUCAAAGGGGUUCGCCCGAACGGCCAGGGCGAAAGGGGAUGAGGUCUGGUAGAAACGUCACAAGCAUGCUUGCAGUUAAUUACGUACGAAACUAUAUAAUUACGUUGCAUAUACACCUUAUAGUUCGACGGACACGUUAUGCUCCGCUUCUCGUUCGGGCGAAGUGCGUUUCUUUUUUUUCUUUUUUUUUUCCUUUUCUCUCAACCGCCCAAACUCUUUCCUAAGUUUUCGAACUUACGAGUCAAUCGUACUUCGAACGUGCCGGAUGGACCAGCACGUGCGCGAUGUCAUUUCCGGCGUGCAAAAGUCAUUGAUCAUUCUGAAAACUUCCAGUUCAACGACUCGUCGCGUCCCUUCCGGCGGAAACCAUCUUCUACUGCGCGUUUCGCGCGAUUCAAAUUUCCCGCCACUGCGUACGCGCAUCGGUACGAUAUCGGGACUUGUAGACCGCUACGUUAGCGGAAAAACAAAAAAAAAAAAAAAUGAUGAUUCGAAAAUAGAAAAGGAAAGACAAAGAUAUAAUCGCGCCCGCGUUUACACCAAUAUCCGAAUUAGCGAGGGUUCGUCGUCGUCACCGCGACGUACCAUCAUCAGUCAUUCGACCGAAUUGUACAAAUUGGAAUAUUAAUUUAUUAUCGUUGUCUAGGUUAAAUUGUCGUCGUAGUUGCGUCAGCGCUUAUAUAUAUCUACGCGGCACAGCCAUGCAUAACCAUUGUUUUGAAAAGUUAAUUGAAUAUGUAGAAUUUCAAUUUGGGGAUCGGAUCUAACGACUCCGUGCCGCGAUCGUGUAAACGUAUAGGUGUUUCGUUUCGUACCUACGUGAUACGUAUACAUCGCAAGCGCACACAUCCAUGUACUCGGUAAUUUACAUACAAACCUACAUGCGCUUCGUCGUCCCUCCGCGCUCAUUAAUCACCUCCUGCACCGAGGCGGCGCGGCGGCGUCUUCCUGAAAUUUACUGCACGUGUGUGGCGACGAGGCUUGUCGGGGCGGUUUAUCCCUCUCGCCUAUUUUGAUUACACCGAACCGUAUAACACACCUAUGACGUACACGCGCGUGUGCGUACUCAUCCGUACCCUGGUCCCCCGUGCAGCAUCUGUUCAACGCCAACCGACCCGACGACAAGGGCUUUUCCAUUCUGACGCCGCACUACCGUUACACUUUUCUCCCCAUCUUAUAUACUCACCUUGACUCUUCGCGGUUUUAAGGGUUUAGCAGCCAACGACCGCACGACACGCGACCUCAUACCUUUUCCCCUUUCAUAACCCCCCCUAUUUUAUAAGCUACGAAGCUAAACACGGAUUUACUCGCUUUUCGAAAGCAAAUUUUCCAUCCCCGACUGUCGCAGUUUUUGAAACUAGGCAAUUCGCACUUCGGAUUGAAACCCGUCUGCACGGAUCUUUAUCGGAGCGUAUAUAGAGCGAAGUGAACCGUAAAUUACGAUAACUCUUCGCUUCACCGUCGUUUAUUUAUUCAUCCGUUUUAACGGGUUUAGUAAUCAUCGUACAUGAAAGACAAAGAUUUCCUUUGAUACCCCGAUAAUUUUUUUCUCAUUCGUUAUAGCCUCUCUUAGCAAUUUCAUUAGCAAUUAGUCAUCCGGGGGAUCAGAGUCUCGUCGUUAAGGACUCUGAAACAAAGUUUCCCCCGUUCGACGCACGUACACGCGGCUCGAUCACAAGUGGUGCAGUUAGACGCUCCGCGAUUAGACGUAGAUCGGCACAAAAUAUCCCUAAGGGGGGGUCGAACCACCUCGACUGUAAAUUCCCCCUAGGGAUAUUUCGUGCCAACCUGCUUUUUCAUCGCGCAGUGUCUAACUACACCACUUGCGAUUGAGCCGCGUGUACGUUGUGUCGCGCAGCGAUGGCGGUAAGACACCGUUGAAUUUCGCGUUGGAAUAAAAGAAACGUAAAGUAAAAUAGGGGAUAGGAGUAAAAAGAAUCGAGGGAAAAAGUUCGGAUUAUAAGGACAGAACUUUCAAGUCUUUCUGGAUUAACCGCGGGCACUCGACCACCGCGCCAGCUUAUGCGUGCACUCGGUUUCGAAACAGUCGAGUACGUUUAAGUUGUUAAUUUCUUUUUCCCCCCCUCACCCCCCACAAUGGGAUUCGAAAAAUUGCGACACGAUCGUAGCGCGAUAAAACGAAACGCGAGCGGGUGGCUAGUUCUGGUAAAACGCGGAACGAUACGACGUUUUGAAUUUCGAAAGAACGUAUCAACGUUGCUCAGCAACGACGUGUGCGUCUACCAAUUUAUUUUAGUUACGUCGGUCACAGUCGUCGUCCGGAUCCCGUAGCUAUAAUUGUCCGGUUAAUCAACGAGCUUUAGUGCCCCGCGCCAGUUCCGCGGUAUUGCCCAUUCGCGGUAGGGAAAUUGAGUAAAAUAUACGGGGAAGAAAAUAGAGGAAUCGCGGCGGUCGUCGGGUUGAUGGGAAAUCCGGGUGAUGGGACAGUCGGCGUCAUCUGCAGAAAGAGGAGAUUUGGGAUUUGCUUUCCGAGGGGCGAUUACUCGCGUUGCAUACAUCCCCCGUACACACGUAUGGUAUUUGGGGUAAGGGUUAUAGGUUAUGGUCACCCCGAACGGGUUCGACCCUCCGACGCAAGGGUCGCGGUCGACUGCCUUUUCAAUGCAGCGACGCAAUUAUGGAUGUUGGUAAAUGUUGCUAGCAAAUGGUGGAGGUUCAAUUUCCCGCAUUAUUUCACUUGCGGUUUAUUUAGCUAUGCCGUAUAUAUAUGUAACCAAUGUCUCACGUCGUACAAUCACAUGCAUUAUCAAUGCCCACAGUAAACUGCGGGGUGAAAGAAUAUCAGAUGAAAGUUUUCCAAAGCAAAAUAAUGCAGUCGUUACUUUAUCAUCCGAUGGGCAGUUUGAACAUUUUUCAUUUCAUUGUGUUUCCUUUUUUCCUACUUUUACUUUAUCAUGUAUUCUGUUCUUUUUGUUAUCUGGUCUCAAUUCGUCAUAUAAGAUAGGUACACAAAUGCUCCGAAGCCUACACCACCUAACACCAAUUGUACACAAUUUUCGAUUAUUAUUUGGUUAUUGAUGUUUUAAUCAUCUAAUCAUUGCUAUUAUUGUUUUCUAUUUUUAAUUAUCAUCAAGUGGUUUUUAAGAGUUUGGUUUCCCCUGCAUGAACGAACAAUUUUUUUAUCACUAUUCGCAGAAAAUCUUGAUUUAUUAAUUUACUCAAAACUAUUCUUCAAGAGGGUACGAUUAUUCGGUAUGGUUAAUCUCGAAUAAUCGUUCUCUUCUGUUUUUUCGUUCUUCUUUCAAUUUUUUCCCCUUUUACUCCCUCUCUUCAACUAAUCGUUAUUUUCGAAGUAAAUUUCAUGUGUCUUAUAUCUAAUAUGAAUCGAUUUGUUAUACAUGUUAUACAUAUAUGUCCACGUACGAGUCAUUAUUGUACCUUGAACGUUGAAAAAAAUGGACGAACCACCGUUAGGUCAGGUCGGAGGUGAGGUCGAAUCGUAGAUCCUACCUCCCGAUAUCGUUACAUGGUCAUGACAUUUUUGAGUGUAUCUCGCACAGCUAUAAAAUCGCCCAAAACAUCAUCUAUUUCACUACCCCCACCCCGAAAACACAACACUCGCAUCGUCGUGGAUGUAUCAAGUAAACGCACACUUCUAACCACAGAACAUACAUAGGUAUAUAUAUAUUAUAUGCAUUUAUACUGUAAACCUCAUAUAUGUACGUACAUACGUGGUUACAUACAUAUCCAUACGGUCGUACCGAUCUUCCAGUCAACGAAUCCACCGUAUCGUGCAAUUCGCUGUAAGUAAGUGAAGCAACGAAAGUUGGCAAAGUGAAACACGACCGCAUUGCCGGAGCUCGGUAAUAUUUCAAACGGCAAUAUUUCUAACAACGAAUUGGCUGCUUUUACCUGCAUCGAUCUAUCCAAACUGGGGGGGGGGGGGGGGGUAAUGCAAACUCUACGUGAUUUACUUUUAUUCAUUCUCUUUGAUCGGAUUUUUGGGGUCGGAGAACAUUGAAUUGAUUUUUAUAUCACGUCGGACUUGGGAUUGAAAAGUACAGUCGAAACGGUCGCACUUGUUGUUAUCGAGCUCUGCGAAAUUUCACGCCGAUACGUACGGGUACGUAUGCCUACGUAUGUACGAAUAUAUGUGUAACAUAAUUCACACCCCGAGUUCACGUACUCUUACACACACCAUCUGCAGCACCUGCACUCUUAUUACCACCCCCGCAUAUUUCGUACAUACCACCGACAACACGCCAAAUUUUCAUUGGAUAAAUUGCUGAGCAGACUUUCAUCUGUUUACUACACUCUCCACGCAGGUUCGAAGCGCUGCACAAAAAAUUAAUUAUUGUUGCAAGUAAAUGCUAUCGAGUGCAUAUUCAUAAUGUGUGUUUGUAUGUCCGCACUCCACGUCGUUAAAUGCUGAAGAAACGAAAAGAAUUAAAAGUCACAGAAUUGUUAUGAAAAUUCACGCGAAUCAAUGGAUAAGUAUUCUGCAGUGAUUCGAGUCGGUAAAUUGAUUGAAAAAAGAAAAAAAAUACAAAGAAGCUACUUGCAAUUAAAAUUAUACUUUUCAUCUAUACUCAUUGUCAAACAUGAAAAUAUACCAAUUGACAUUCACAUUAUAUAUAUACAUAGUUGGACAUUCAAGAGAUAAAAUCUGAAAACGGUGUAAAUGUUAUUAUUACAGAUACAGGUAUGUUCUGAUUUGAAAGUUACACGGUCACGUAACUCGAGUAUUCAUAUUUUCACGGACAGAAGUUUGUUGGGCAGAAUUUUCUGAAUGACCAGCAAUGCCAGAAAAACCUUGUGCAAUCCUUUUUGUUCGCGAUUUUUUAAUUUCACGUGAAUCGCCAAGUACUGUCACUUCAAUCGACUGGUUUCUUUCGAAAACGCGAAGAAAUUUUCAAAUUCAAUUAGCAAUGAGAUAAAAAAGAACGGUGCACCGGAAUUCUUCCCUGACAAAAACCAAUAAACUAGUUCAAACUUUUGUCGUCCAUAGAAAUAUUAAUUCUCGAGUUAUCCGAACGUAUAAACUUGACAAAGGGACAGUCUCUGUUCGGUACACAAAAAAGAAAAUUGAAACUAAAAA